RNAcentral lists this ribosomal RNA (253 nucleotides) under uncultured bacterium. RNAcentral's name for it is "partial 16S ribosomal RNA". It matches the Rfam family "Bacterial small subunit ribosomal RNA", at positions 524 to 776 of the family's 1533-position model. The record is from RNAcentral.
CACGUAGGGUGCGAGCGUUGUCCGGAAUUAUUGGGCGUAAAGAGCUCGUAGGCGGUUUGUCGCGUCGGCCGUGAAAACUUGGGGCUUAACUCCAAGCUUGCGGUCGAUACGGGCAGACUUGAGUUCGGCAGGGGAGACAGGAAUUCCUGGUGUAGCGGUGAAAUGCGCAGAUAUCAGGAGGAACACCGGUGGCGAAGGCGGGUCUCUGGGCCGAUACUGACGCUGAGGAGCGAAAGCGUGGGGAGCGAACAGG